CUGUUUUAGUUUUUCCUGUUUUAUUGUGUUCAUUUAUUCCCCGUUUCCUUGUUGUUUACUGUCUGUGUUCUCUGUUGUGUUUUACCCUGUUUUCAUCCUUGUGUAUGUUUUAUGCUUCAGUUUCCUGUUUUAUUUUGUAGUCUGUUUUCUCCCAUGUCAUGUCUUGUUUUACUUCCUGCCUUGUAUUUUCCCGCCUUUGUGAUUGUCUGCCCCACCCUGAUGUGUUUCACCUGUUCCUGAGCCCUCGUGUCACCUGUUCCUUGUUUCACCCUCGUUACCUAGUAUAUUUAUUCUCUGUGUUGACUUUGUCUGUUGUCUGAUCAUUGUAUUGUGUUUUUAAAAGAUU
Long non-coding RNA from Sander lucioperca (pikeperch), 346 nucleotides. RefSeq lists it as uncharacterized. The record is from RefSeq and is a predicted model, not a curated record. NCBI's taxonomy places the organism in Eukaryota, Metazoa, Chordata, Actinopteri, Perciformes, Percidae. The transcript has 3 exons.